This 759-nucleotide unclassified non-coding RNA is filed under the name Hevea brasiliensis (rubber tree). The record is from RNAcentral. Lineage: Eukaryota; Viridiplantae; Streptophyta; Magnoliopsida; Malpighiales; Euphorbiaceae.
GGAAAAGUGGUCAACCAAUAUUUGGACCAACAAGUGCCAUGAAACUUUUGGUCUUAAGAGCUGUCAGUGGAUGCAUCUCCUUGCUGAGUUACAUCUACAGCAUCCAGCGGCUACCUGUGUCUCAGGCUAUCAUAUUGAACUUUACUGCGCCAAUUAUGGCUUCAACUGUGGCUAGAGUCACAUUGCAUGAGAAACUAAAAAUUGCAGAAAUUGGAGGUUUAGCUAGCAGUUUCUUUGGUGUGCUGUUUAUUUUUCAACCAAUGGUCAGAACACAAGGAGUUUUCCCAAGUUCAGUAGAAGUGAGUGAAUCUCACAUUUUAGCUGUUCUGAUUGGCUUAUUUUCAUCUGUUGCUAGUGGAGUCACCUACUGCCUUACGAGAGCAGGAGCCAAGGCAGCAGAUCAACCUCUGCUUCCUGUGCUUUCGUUUGCUCUGCUUGCUAGUCCUGCUGCUGCAAUAUCUACUUUUGCCUUUGAAAACUUUGUACUCCCUAGUUUCUAUUCUUUCCUUCUGAUGGUUGUACUUGGUGUACUAGCUUUCUUUGCAGAGAUAACUUUAGCACGUGGACUUCAGCUUGAGAAAACUAAUAGAGUUGCCAAUAUCCAGUUUAUUGAGGUUGCACUAUCACAAUUUCUUGGAAUGGGCUCAUCAAGAAUCAUUCCAUCUUUUGGCAGAUUAGUUGGAUGUAUAAUUAUCUUGAUUUCAGCAUGUUGUACCAUGUAUAUUGGACCUGAGAAAGAGAUUGAAUGACAAAGUUGGC